RNAcentral lists this long non-coding RNA (245 nucleotides) under Hordeum vulgare. RNAcentral's name for it is "long non-coding RNA (HVUL_LNC002179)". The record is from RNAcentral. Lineage: Eukaryota; Viridiplantae; Streptophyta; Magnoliopsida; Poales; Poaceae.
AUAAAUAUAAAAAAUAUUAGAAAUAAAAAGAUUUGUGUUCAUUGUGAAUAUGAUGUUAAAAGAAAUGCGAACAAAAGUGAGAGAGACAUGUACUUAUUUUUUUGUGAGAGAAAGUUGUGCGCGCAUAGACACUGUACCACACCAUUCAAGAUAAUUAACAGAAACUGGGCAUAAACAUAGGCCAAGUUCAAAUCAAAAUAUGUACCAGUGAAGCCAAAUCAAACAAACGAAUAUGUUUAGCCAAC